RNAcentral lists this ribosomal RNA (472 nucleotides) under uncultured bacterium. RNAcentral's name for it is "bacterial SSU rRNA". It matches the Rfam family "Bacterial small subunit ribosomal RNA", at positions 355 to 825 of the family's 1533-position model. The record is from RNAcentral.
UGGGGAAUAUUGGACAAUGGGCGGAAGCCUGAUCCAGCAAUACCGCGUGUGUGAAGAAGGUCUUCGGAUUGUAAAGCACUUUAAGUUGGGAGGAAGGGCAGUUACCUAAUACGUGAUUGUUUUGACGUUACCGACAGAAUAAGCACCGGCUAACUCUGUGCCAGCAGCCGCGGUAAUACAGAGGGUGCAAGCGUUAAUCGGAAUUACUGGGCGUAAAGCGCGCGUAGGUGGUUAGUUAAGUUGGAUGUGAAAUCCCCGGGCUCAACCUGGGAACUGCAUUCAAAACUGACUGACUAGAGUAUGGUAGAGGGUGGUGGAAUUUCCUGUGUAGCGGUGAAAUGCGUAGAUAUAGGAAGGAACACCAGUGGCGAAGGCGACCACCUGGACUGAUACUGACACUGAGGUGCGAAAGCGUGGGGAGCAAACAGGAUUAGAUACCCCAGUAGUCCCUGAGCGGGCUGGCAAGGCGCAU